CUUGCAGCCAUCCCGUAGUAUGUUUUAAAUGUGUUAUUUCUUCUUUUCUUCGUUCAUUCGAAGAGAGACAUACGUACAGAAACAAAACAACGUUCAUCUUCCCACUUUGAGACUUAGGGACGAGACUCCUCAACGACCAAGCUCAUCCACAGCGACAUUGGUCACCCUCAGUAGUAAAACAUACUCCACAACAAGGAGUCUCCACAGCAACCACAACAAGGAGUCUCCAUAACAUUUUGAACCAUGGUGGCAAAACUCAUCCAUGACGAUGGCAUAGAUUGAGAUUUCUGGUUGGAUUGGAACUUUUGCGGAUUGGGAUUUUUAAGGCGUGAGAUAGGUUCUCAGUGUAAAGAUGAAGAUGAUGAAUCUCGUUCCUUUAUUUUUUUUGUGUAUAAAGGUCUGCCUGUCAUGUAUAAGGGUGAGAAUAUGAUGGAGAAAACCAAAGUUGAUGAUGAUAAAUAGGUGAGCCAGUGAUUGGGGAUGAAGAAAUGGAAGGUUAGCCCACUAGCUCGCUCGCCCACCCAGUGGCGGUGGUCUCACCCGACUUGAAUUUAGCAUGCCAGAAGAAAGUUUAGCCUAUACUGGCCAGACGGACC
RNAcentral lists this small RNA (596 nucleotides) under Vigna angularis var. angularis. RNAcentral's name for it is "Non-protein coding transcript". Lineage: Eukaryota; Viridiplantae; Streptophyta; Magnoliopsida; Fabales; Fabaceae. The record is from RNAcentral.